CUGGUCAAGUGAUUCCGCGCCGAUAAUGUAGCGGGGCUUAAGUUAUCCGCCGAAGCUGUGGCAACCUGUGUGGUUGGGUAGGGGAGCGUCGUGUCAGUGGUGAAGCUGCCGGGUGACUGUGUGGUGGAGUUGAUGCGAGUGAGAAUGCAGGCAUGAGUAGCGUGUGACGGGUGGGAAUCCCGUCCGCCGAUUAUCCAAGGGUUCCAGGGUCAAGUUUGUCUGCCCUGGGUGAGUCGGGUCCUAAGGCGAGGCCGACAGGCGUAGUCGAUGGGUAACCAGUUGAUAUUCUGGUACCGGCUUGUCACCGUCCGUGUCGAGGUGUGUGAUGCUAAGCAUGUGAGCUUGUCUUGGGAGUGUUUUUGAUGCUUCUGGGGUGGGUGAGUGUGUGAACCGAUCAUGUAGUAGGCAAGCUGCGGAGGGACGCAGUGAGGUAGCUCAUCCCCGGUGAUGGUUGUCCGGGGCUAAGUGUGUGGACUGUCUGGUAGGUAAAUCCGCUGGGCGUGAAGGUUGAGGCAUGAUGGGGAGCCCAUGGUUGUGGGUGAGUGAGUGAUCCUGUACUGUCGAGAAAAGCUUCGUGAGCGAGGUGGCGGGUCCGCCCGUACCCUAAACCGACACUGGUGGAUAGGUAGAGUAUACCGAGGCGAUCGAGUGAAUCGUGGUGAAGGAACUCGGCAAAAUGCCCCCGUAACUUUGGGAUAAGGGGGACCUGAGCUGUCGUGCACCCGUGCGGUGUGGUGGCGGUGAGGGGCGCAGAGUCCAGGGGGAAACGACUGUUUACCAAAAACACAGGUCCGUGCGAAGUCGUAAGACGAUGUAUACGGACUGACUCCUGCCCGGUGCUGGAAGGUUAAGGGGAACUGUGAGUGUAUGCGUAGCGGUGAACUUAAGCCCCAGUAAACGGCGGUGGUAACUAUAACCAUCCUAAGGUAGCGAAAUUCCUUGUCGGGUAAGUUCCGACCUGCACGAAUGGAGUAACGAUUUCCCUACUGUCUCCACCAUGAACUCGGUGAAAUUGCAUUACGAGUAAAGAUGCUCGUUACGCGCAGCAGGACGGAAAGACCCCGGGACCUUUACUAUAGUUUGGUAUUGGUGAUUGGGACGGUUUGUGUAGGAUAGGUGGGAGACGUUGAUGCGGCCACGCUAGUGGUGGUGGAGUCGUUGGUGAAAUACCACUCUGAUUGUUCUGGUUAUCUCACUGUGGACCGUGAUCCGGUUCAAGGACAGUGCCUGAUGGGUAGUUUGACUGGGGCGGUCGCCUCCUAAAGGGUAACGGAGGCGCCCAAAGGUUCCCUCANCCUGGUUGGUAAUCAGGUGGUGAGUGNANGUCGCUANANGGNNGCUUGACUGUGAGACUGACAGGUCGAGCAGGGACGAAAGUCGGGACUAGUGAUCUGACGGUGGCUUGUGGAUGCGCCGUCACUCAACGGAUAAAAGGUACCCCGGGGAUAACAGGCUGAUCUUGCCCGAGCGCUCAUAGCGACGGCAUGGUUUGGCACCUCGAUGUCGGCUCGUCGCAUCCUGGGGCUGGAGUCGGUCCCAAGGGUUGGGCUGUUCGCCCAUUAAAGCGGCACGCGAGCUGGGUUCAGAACGUCGUGAGACAGUUCGGUCCCUAUCCGCUGCGCGCGGAGGAAUCUUGAGAAGGGCUGUCUNUAGUACGAGAGGACCGAGANGGANNNACCUCUGGUGUNCCAGUUGUUCUGCCAAGAGCAUGGCUGGUUGGCUACGUCGGGUUGUGAUAACCGCUGAAAGCAUCUAAGCGGGAAGCACGCUUCAAGAUAAGGGUUCCCACAGGAGUGUUCCUGGUAAGGUCCCCGAGAGAUGAUCGGGUUGAUAGGCCAGACGUGGACGCAUCGUAAGGUGUGGAGCUGACUGGUACUAAUAGACCGAGGACUUUCAUU
RNAcentral lists this ribosomal RNA (1898 nucleotides) under insect metagenome. Its description in RNAcentral is "bacterial LSU rRNA". It matches the Rfam family "Bacterial large subunit ribosomal RNA", at positions 1145 to 2925 of the family's 2925-position model. The record is from RNAcentral.